Homarus americanus (American lobster) is the source of this 1152-nucleotide long non-coding RNA. RefSeq lists it as uncharacterized. The record is from RefSeq and is a predicted model, not a curated record. The transcript has 3 exons. Lineage: Eukaryota; Metazoa; Arthropoda; Malacostraca; Decapoda; Nephropidae.
AACAAAUACUAGUCGCACACAAUAGUACUCACACUGUACAUGUACUGGUUAGAGUUUGCUGAUGGGGAAGGCUGGGAGAGAACAGCUGACUGGCUCACAUUGGACGCUGGCUGAUGACGUACUUUAGCCAGUAUAAAGCAGUCUGCUGGAUGAUAUAGUCUGCACACUUCUGACAAGCAAGAUGAAGCUCCUCGUGAUCCUCUUCUCCCUCACCGCCCUCACAUGGGCCCAGGAUCAACCACACUGCAGGUGCGGCGGCUUUAUCACCGAGUCUGAAGAAGAGGUAGAAGUGUUCAACCUCCCUACCUUCCAAGUGGAGAACUGUGAAGCAGAACAGGGAUGUCGAGAACUAUGCCGCAUGAUUGUGAGACCCAUUACUCUUGCAUACAUAUUUGUUUACCAGCAUAAUAUUAGGUUUUAUGAAAGUUUAUAAAGAUUGUAGUUGAUGAAAUUACCACAGAAAAUAUUUAGCAUUGGCAAUUAAAAUUUUAAAAUAUAAUAAAUCUUUCUGCUUUAUAUUAUUUCUAUUUGUAUCCUCUGAAUAACAAAAAUUCUACAGUGGGUCAGGAAUACCAACGACGGAAGCCUGGAUAACGAGACAGGUGACGGCCAGACGGUAGGCCAGACGAGCUGCGAUACUUGUAACCUGCUAGGGGCGACGAAGACUUUGGUCCAAAAGAAGUUGUCUUGUAUUCGAAGCUUUGUGAUGGCCCUUGGGAGAUGGGAGAAGAAUCCAGCAACGAGGAGCUGUGCUGUAAGGGGGGUCAAUACGUGACCUGCAUGUAAAGGCCAAUACCGUUGGUGGCUCCUGAAACAUUCACAACUUUAGCAAUGUAAUAAAAAAUCUACUUCGACAAAAAUGAGUCUACUGUCAAAACAAUUGAGUGAAUGUACUCUACCGAUCAGAACUGUUAACACCAACAAUUUAUAUAUUAACUCAACAAUAUUAGUGUUAUAGUACUAAAACAUAUUAAACAGUGCCGUAGUUAUUAUGUUUAAAACGUUAUUCGUAAAGUUGAAGUUAUUAAGAUACUUGAUCCAACUACUAAUGAGGUUUCACCGGAGUCACUAGCACCAACAACACUUUCACACACGCUAUAGCAAGGAAUAAUUUUUGUACUGAUAAAGUAUCAAUAAAAUCAAAUAUAUUUC